RNAcentral lists this ribosomal RNA (496 nucleotides) under uncultured bacterium. Its description in RNAcentral is "partial 16S ribosomal RNA". It matches the Rfam family "Bacterial small subunit ribosomal RNA", at positions 28 to 506 of the family's 1533-position model. The record is from RNAcentral.
GAUGAACGCUGGCGGCGUGCCUAAUACAUGCAAGUCGAGCGAACGGACGAGAAGCUUGCUUCUCUGAUGUUAGCGGCGGACGGGUGAGUAACACGUGGAUAACCUACCUAUAAGACUGGGAUAACUUCGGGAAACCGGAGCUAAUACCGGAUAAUAUUUUGAACCGCAUGGUUCAAAAGUGAAAGACGGUCUUGCUGUCACUUGUAGAUGGAUCCGCGCUGCAUUAGCUAGUUGGUAAGGUAACGGCUUACCAAGGCAACGAUGCAUAGCCGACCUGAGAGGGUGAUCGGCCACACUGGAACUGAGACGCGGUCCAGACUCCUACGGGAGGCAGCAGUAGGGAAUCUUCCGCAAUGGGCGAAAGCCUGACGGAGCAACGCCGCGUGAGUGAUGAAGGUCUUCGGAUCGUAAAACUCUGUUAUUAGGGAAGAACAUAUGUGUAAGUAACUGUGCACAUCUUGACGGUACCUAAUCAGAAAGCCACGGCUAACUACGU